GUUGUAUGGUUAAGUGACUAAGCGUACACGGUGGAUGCCUGGGCAGUCAGAGGCGAUGAAGGACGUACUAACUUGCGAUAAGCGCAGAUAAGGCAGUAAGAGCCGUUUGAGUCUGCGAUUUCCGAAUGGGGAAACCCAACUGCAUAAGCAGUUACUGUUAACUGAAUACAUAGGUUAACAGAGCAAACCGGGGGAACUGAAACAUCUAAGUACCCCGAGGAGAAGAAAUCAACCGAGAUUCCGGUAGUAGCGGCGAGCGAACCUGGAUUAGCCCUUAAGCGCUCGGUGAAGUAGGUGAACAAGCUGGAAAGCUUGGCGAUACAGGGUGAUAGCCCCGUAACCGACGCUUCAUCGAGCGUGAAAUCGAGUAGGGCGGGACACGUGAUAUCCUGUCUGAAUAUGGGGGGACCAUCCUCCAAGGCUAAAUACUCCUGACUGACCGAUAGUGAACCAGUACCGUGAGGGAAAGGCGAAAAGAACCCCUGUGAGGGGAGUGAAAUAGAACCUGAAACCGUGUACGUACAAGCAGUAGGAGCACCUUCGUGGUGUGACUGCGUACCUUUUGUAUAAUGGGUCAGCGACUUAUAUUCAGUGGCAAGGUUAACCGUAUAGGGGAGCCGUAGCGAAAGCGAGUCUUAACUGGGCGCUCAGUCUCUGGAUAUAGACCCGAAACCGGGUGAUCUAGCCAUGGGCAGGUUGAAGGUUGAGUAACAUCAACUGGAGGACCGAACCGACUAAUGUUGAAAAAUUAGCGGAUGACUUGUGGCUAGGGGUGAAAGGCCAAUCAAACUCGGAGAUAGCUGGUUCUCCCCGAAAGCUAUUUAGGUAGCGCCUCGGACGAAUACUACUGGGGGUAGAGCACUGUUAAGGCUAGGGGGUCAUCCCGACUUACCAACCCUUUGCAAACUCCGAAUACCAGUAAGUACUAUCCGGGAGACACACGGCGGGUGCUAACGUCCGUCGUGGAGAGGGAAACAACCCAGACCGCCAGCUAAGGUCCCAAAGUAUUGCUAAGUGGGAAACGAUGUGGGAAGGCUCAGACAGCUAGGAUGUUGGCUUAGAAGCAGCCAUCAUUUAAAGAAAGCGUAAUAGCUCACUAGUCGAGUCGGCCUGCGCGGAAGAUGUAACGGGGCUAAGCAAUACACCGAAGCUGCGGCAAUAUCUUUUAGAUAUUGGGUAGGGGAGCGUUCUGUAAGCCGUUGAAGGUGAAUCGUAAGGUUUGCUGGAGGUAUCAGAAGUGCGAAUGCUGACAUGAGUAACGACAAAGGGGGUGAAAAACCUCCUCGCCGGAAGACCAAGGGUUCCUGUCCAACGUUAAUCGGGGCAGGGUGAGUCGACCCCUAAGGUGAGGCCGAAAGGCGUAAUCGAUGGGAAACGGGUUAAUAUUCCCGUACUUCUGACUAUUGCGAUGGGGGGACGGAGAAGGCUAGGUGGGCCAGGCGACGGUUGUCCUGGUUCAAGUGCGUAGGCUUGAGAGUUAGGUAAAUCCGGCUCUCUCUAAGGCUGAGACACGACGUCGAGCUGCUACGGCAGUGAAGUCAUUGAUGCCAUGCUUCCAGGAAAAGCCUCUAAGCUUCAGAUAGUCAGGAAUCGUACCCCAAACCGACACAGGUGGUCGGGUAGAGAAUACCAAGGCGCUUGAGAGAACUCGGGUGAAGGAACUAGGCAAAAUGGUACCGUAACUUCGGGAGAAGGUACGCUCUUGAUGGUGAAGUCCCUCGCGGAUGGAGCUGACGAGAGUCGCAGAUACCAGGUGGCUGCAACUGUUUAUUAAAAACACAGCACUGUGCAAAAUCGCAAGAUGACGUAUACGGUGUGACGCCUGCCCGGUGCCGGAAGGUUAAUUGAUGGGGUUAGCGCAAGCGAAGCUCUUGAUCGAAGCCCCGGUAAACGGCGGCCGUAACUAUAACGGUCCUAAGGUAGCGAAAUUCCUUGUCGGGUAAGUUCCGACCUGCACGAAUGGCGUAAUGAUGGCCACGCUGUCUCCACCCGAGACUCAGUGAAAUUGAAAUCGCUGUGAAGAUGCAGUGUACCCGCGGCUAGACGGAAAGACCCCGUGAACCUUUACUACAGCUUGGCACUGAACAUUGAACCUACAUGUGUAGGAUAGGUGGGAGGCUAUGAAGACGUGACGCCAGUUGCGUUGGAGCCGUCCUUGAAAUACCACCCUUGUAUGUUUGAUGUUCUAACUUAGCCCCAUUAUCUGGGGUGAGGACAGUGCCUGGUGGGUAGUUUGACUGGGGCGGUCUCCUCCCAAAGAGUAACGGAGGAGCACGAAGGUGGGCUAAUCACGG
This 2294-nucleotide ribosomal RNA is filed under the name Vibrio cholerae. RNAcentral describes it as "partial 23S ribosomal RNA". It matches the Rfam family "Bacterial large subunit ribosomal RNA", at positions 1 to 2330 of the family's 2925-position model. The record is from RNAcentral. Lineage: Bacteria; Pseudomonadati; Pseudomonadota; Gammaproteobacteria; Vibrionales; Vibrionaceae.